CGGGGGCCGUCCGGACUCCUGGCUGGUGCGCCUCUGCGGGACGGUGUGUCCGGCACUCGGCGCCGCCGCCCCGCCGGAGCCGGGGACCCCAUCGUCCUCAGUGGUGCGGGAAGCCGGAGGGGAAGCCGGCGCUUUUGUUUGGCUUUGGUUGAAAAAGAAUUUAGCCUAUAUGUACUGCUUUAACCACUGGAAGAAUGACAGAUGACAAAGAUGUGCUUCGAGAUGUGUGGUUUGGACGAAUUCCAACUUGCUUCACUCUGUAUCAGGAUGAGAUAACUGAAAGGGAGGCUGAACCAUAUUAUUUGCUUUUGCCAAGAGUAAGUUACUUGACGUUGGUAACUGACAAAGUGAAAAAGCACUUUCAGAAGGUUAUGAGACAAGAAGACAUUAGUGAGAUAUGGUUUGAAUAUGAAGGCACACCACUGAAAUGGCAUUAUCCAAUUGGUUUGCUAUUUGAUCUUCUUGCAUCAAGUUCAGCUCUUCCUUGGAACAUCACAGUACAUUUUAAGAGUUUUCCAGAAAAGGACCUUCUGCACUGUCCAUCUAAGGAUGUAAUUGAAGCUCAUUUUAUGUCCUGCGUGAAAGAAGCUGAUGCUUUAAAGCACAAAAGUCAAGUAAUCAAUGAAAUGCAGAAAAAAGAUCAUAAGCAACUCUGGAUGGGUUUACAAAAUGAUAGAUUUGACCAAUUUUGGGCCAUCAAUCGGAAACUCAUGGAAUAUCCUGCAGAAGAAAAUGGAUUUCGUUACAUCCCUUUUAGAAUAUAUCAGACAACAACUGAACGGCCUUUCAUUCAGAAGCUUUUUCGUCCUGUGGCUCCAGAUGGACAACUGCACACACUAGGAGAUCUUCUAAAAGAAGUUUGUCCUUCUGCAGUUGCCCCUGAAGGAGGAAUGGAGAAGGGGGACAUCUAAAGUACCAUCAGAACCGGUACCAGAAGGGAUUGAUAAAGAAGAUCAUUGACCACUUCUCAAAAUUAUGAAAAUUGAACAAAUAUGAUUGCCUCAAGAGAUUAUAAAGGAUCUGUGGGGAGUAUUCGAAACAUCAAGUCACUCUUUCAAUAAAGAACUGUUUACUGUCUAGUUCAGCACACCUGUGAUGCUGUCAAUUGUGAAGCAUUUUGAAACACCUGCACCCAACUUAAGUUGAAAGCAAAAGACUAAGGUUGGGCGGGUAUGGAUAAGAACUGGCUGUCAUCACGUGAUAAAAAGAGAAAGUGCUUCAUAAAAGUUAUUUGGCACCAUUGUCUACGACUCCUUACAACAAAUGAUUCAUGCAUGAAGGAAUUUUGCCUUAUUUCAUCACAUGAAGAUAGAAUGUACUAAUAUUCACAAAGACAUGCUUUAGGUCAUUGUUCUUGUGGAAUAACUAAUGAUGAGCUGCUUUAUGUGUUUCUUCUGUUAUUGUUUUAUAAGUGGCAGAGGAGUUAGUCAGGGUAACAGGAAGUAACCAAAGGUGAACUCAGGUAAGGUUUUUCUGUGGUGUCAGUUAUAGUUAAGAUAAUUCAGAGCUAAGCUUUCUGUACCAGACCUGAAGUGAAAUAUUUCUUUGUUCAUUAAAAACAACGUACAAAAAUAAACAAAUUAAAGAAACCUAAAACUAAAGACCAUAGCUUUUUUACUUUGAAGAAUACAAAACACCUAUAAGCUUUGCCCAAUCAUAUUUCAUUUCCCAAUUUUCUAAUGUAAUGUAUAAAAAUCUAGUAAGUUAAAGGACUCUGAAAAUAACAGCGACCAUUCUCGCCUUUAUAAAUUUAUUUCAAAGUUCCAGCUGAUCAGUUCUCUGUAACAGUUGGGUUGUUGUAAUCCUGAAUUUAUAUUUGAUAUUGUACAAAUGAAGUGUAUGUGUAGGGCAAGGCUUACAUUCAAUGGCAAAUUAGUCAGGUUUCUCUGCAUCUCUCUUACCAGCAAGUACAAUCCUCUAGCCACUUAUCUUUUUCCAUUUCUGCCCUGCUUCCUGGGAAUUUAUUUACUCCUUGAGACCCUUCUCACUUACCAUUUAAUUUUUGAGUUCCAUUUGAUGUUGUAGAUUUCAUUAUUCAUCAGUCAAUUUCUUCACAUCAUACUGUCUUCUACACUGGGGUUACUGGGAUGUGUAAGACCUAUUCCCUGCUUUUAAGAAACUUUAGUCCAGUUGGAGUGGGCAGAAAGAAGCACAGAUAUGGCUUGUGUAGGAUUGGAGAUAUGCAGAGAAUAUUAGAAAGAAUUAUUGUCUUAUCUAUUCUGGAGUGGGUAGUAAAGACCGAGCUAAGUCUUAAAAGAUGAGCAGAAGUUAGUUGCAAAGGAGGGACCAGGUCACACAUACCAGAUGACCACUGUAGUAGAAUCCUUCACCAGCUACCCAGGGGCUUGUUGCUAAAGGGUAAUGUCUGGUCUGAAAUGCUCAUUUAAAAUGUCCCUACUCUAUUUGUGAAGGACUAGCCUUUUUUUUCUACUUUUCUCCUAUAAAUGUGCAUAAGAUUUUCAGUGAGUUCAGAGAUGUAGGGGAAAGCACUGAGGAACUAAGUAACUAAGAUUGAUCUGUUAUUUGCUUGGUUAGUACAUUGGAAGAUAGUUAUAACAACUGAGGCUAAGGGAGUCAUAGUAUCUGAUUUAGGUAGUCUAACUUGAAAAUUAUAUUUUUUACACACUUUAUGAGAAAGCACAGAGUACUUUCUACAAAAAAUAAGAAAAGAUAACGUAUUCACAUUUUUUCUCCUUCGCUCUGUAACGUAUGAUUAGAUUGUUUUAUAAAGUGAAUUAACUGAUGUUGCAAUAAUUUUCUUCAGACAUAAAGCAAUUAGAGACAAGAAAUAUCUAGAUCUCAUGUUACUCAUCUGAAGCAGAUCCUUCAAUUUGAAUUGUGAACCAACAGUUGGUGCUUUUGUCAGCAUGAUGACACUGACCCCCUCAAAGAGGUGGCAUUUCAAUUUGCCAGUUCAUACCACAGAAACGUAAGACCUUCAAACCCCAAAUUUCAUCAGAAUGAGGGUUCGGAAGUAAGAAUAAUAAUCACUUUACGGUUUUAUUAGUUCUUUUUUCACUCAUUUAAAAUUGUUUUUAUUCUAGUAUCCCUUUGUACCUUCACACUGUUUGAUUUAGAAGGUCAUUCAGUAGUUGCUUUUUUUUUUUAUUAAUGGUUCUUACUCUAAAAAAUAGGGAUGUUACCCGCUAUCCACCUGAUGGUUAGAAGGUUUAAAUGAACAAAAGGUUUAGUUAAGUGAGAUUUCAUGAUUUCAUAUUUUUCCAAGGUUUUACAACUAACAUUACUGUUUUCUUAUGGGUUUGUUAUUAUUUUUUCACAAAUAACUGUACUCAUAAGAAAUUUACCAAGUGGAGUUAGCAAGAAGCAGUUUUGUUUUUUCUUGUUGUCAUUUGUUUUUAAUCCCACUCUGCAGAGAAAGGGACUUGUUGAUGUUCAGCAUCUGCACGGAAGAUAUAAAUGUGCAAUGAGCUCUAAAUGUAAACUGAUGUUGUAACUGCUUCUACCUCGGAUUAUGGCAGGAGUUCCAUGCUACUGAGCUUUCUGCUUUUUUUAGAAAUUAAUUUAUGGAUGUGAUUAGGAGUGCCAGAAGUGUGGCUCUGAUAGGAAAUAAGUAAACUUAUUCUACUACAGCAUCUCCAUAGUCACUGCAGCCAGCUGGAUUAUCAUAUACUUGUUAAAAUAUAUUAAAAGGAAAAAUCUUAAGGCAGGAGGUCUGAAAGUGUUGCUGCUAGUGAAAGUUUCUCACUGAAGACUGUAAGCAACAGAACACACAUUUGUUUGAAGUUUCAGCUGGUCACAAGUAACCUUGGAAGACCCAUUCAUAAUUUUGCUGUAAUACCAUGAGCCUGACAUGUGGGACUGGGUCACUGGACUGUAAUGUCAUCCUAACACUCUCUGCUUUUCAUUGUUUUCUCUCCCUGGAUGGGCAUUUUAUGUUAAAAAAAAAAAAAAAAAAAGAAAAAAGAUACAGUGUCAUUCACAGUGGUAAAACAAAAAGUUCUUCAAAUAUAGCCCUCAUGGACAAAGGUCUACUAUACUCAAGUUUGGACAGAAGCAAUUUAUUAGGCUUAUUUUAAACUUGAUAAUUACAACAUAUUUUCUUAAGUUAUCAUUAUGCCACCAAACUCUAAACUGAGUCAAACUCUUUGCCUCAGUUGUUUCAUUCUUCCUUCAUCUCUGUGCUUUGUCUCAACACGUGGGUAGUAUGGACUAAUCUCAGUGAUGCAGUCUGUUAAUGACUUAAUCCAUUAUACAUGUCUUUUCUAAAAUCAAAGAAAUAAUAAACUAAUUAUUUUUGUUGUUCUUCAUUAGCGAAGAUGAGAUUACUGGGCCUGUCAGAAGAUGCCUGAUUUCCUUUAUUCCCAAGAAGUUAAAUGAAUUAACUUGACUUUUUCAAAAGUGGGAACAGAUACUUGCACAAUUAAUAUUUCAUCUUUAGCACUAGAAAACAAAAUUCCCUUAACAAAAUAAUAACACAUGCAGGUAAUUAAAAGCAAGUCAUCUCUUCAUUAAAACAAGUCCUGUGAGACCUCAGUCUGGCCGUAUAUAAACAGUGUAAUUAUUGCCUAUAUUUUAAAUAAAACUGUUAGUUCUGAACUAUUCUGUAAUUCAAACUUGACAAAUAUAAAUGGGCCCUAUUACACCCAACUAGAAUUACUGGAUCAUUUUAGGAAAGCAGAUUAAAAACAUUUGAACCUAUAUUUUCAAAGUUUUACUUCGUUUUGGGGAGGUUUUCUUGAAAUGAACAAGUUUUGUUUUUAAUUGAAGUAUGGUUGAUUUACAGUGUUGUAUUUCUGGUGUACAGCAUAGUGGUUCAGAUACAUAUGUGUGUAUGUAUAUAUAUAUUCCUUUUCCUAUUCUUUUUCAAUAUAGACUAUUACAAGAUAUUGGAUAUAGUUUCCUAUGGUAUACAGUAGGACCUUGUUGCUCCUCUGAAAUGAACAAAUUUUAAUUCCUAACUUGUAUCAUAUUUUUAUCUUAUUAUCAAGAGCCAUUUAAUCAGUCUAUUUAAAUGGUCUUAUAAUCAAUUAAUCUAAUACACUGUUCUUAUAGCUAAUUUGGGGGGAUUUUCUUAAGUUUAAAUUUUGGUUUAUUACCUCCUCAUUAAGAAAUAUAAAGGUUAUAAAGCAAAAGUCAGUGGAAGAAUUAACAUAGACAGGCUUUGAAAGCUUAUAUAGAAUGUUAAGAGGCAAGGCUCUGGGAAUAUUUUGGACAGAAGUAAAAUAUAUAUAUAAAUAUAUAUAAAAUAUAAAAUGUACACAUGGAAAAAGAUACGUGGUAUAUAUUAACUGUGAUAUCAUAUGUUCAUUAAAACCUGUACUACUAAGUGAGCGUAGAUCCGGAAGAAGUUAAUGUAAGUAUUUUUAAAUGGGUUUGUAUUUCUCUGAUAAACAGCACUCUCCUUCUGUUUGUGAUCAUAGGAUAAAAGCUCUGUAAGCUUGUAUAUGUUCAUUUUUACUGCUACAUCAUGUAGUGUGCUCUUAAGAUUGAAAUCUCAUUCCCCAGGAAGCAUUUCUGUCUAAGAUUAAUUGCCCUUUUAAAAUCAGCGUUUGAUGUAUUCCUUUGGCUAUAUCCUGGCUUGGUUUAACCCUCUUUGACCUGACCUCACUGACUAUUACUGCUGAGGCUGAGUCAGAAUCCUUCAGCAUGAUGUAUGCACUUCAGAUUUCAGCCUGUGGUUUUUCAUGUCGAUGGAUUCAAUUAGUUGGCAUUUUACUAAUGAACAUAUCAGAAGUUAAAGAAUUUGUCAGGCAGACCAAAAUUGUUCAGAAUAGUGGCAAUCAGAAAGCUCAUCUCUUUGUUUUGCACAGUAUCAAGUAUUUUUCAGAAGUUUUACCUUCAGCAUCACACAUUCCAAGAUAGCAGAUCAAGACAUUUUCUGCUGAAUUAUAAAAUAUAAAAGUGAAGUCACAAAACUAAAAACAGUGGUUACAACUUCUAGCCUUAGAUUUCUAUUACUUCGUAUUGUAUUCAUAAGUGUAAACUAAAAGACAAGUUAUUAAUGUGAAAUUUUCUGAUUAAAAGUACUUUCCCUUGAAGAUAUAUCAUCCAUUUCUUUAGCUGCUUUUAAUUCUAAGAGGUUUCACAUACUUUGUUAUAUGUGUUAAUAGUAAGAAUGAAACUCAUACAUCUCUCUAGAAUCUCAAGUAACCUGCUUUUAAAGACAUUUAGGUCAUACUCCUUGUUGAUAACUGACUAAAAACUAAUGGGUAAAAUGCAGAUUGGGAUGGGGAAGGCUAUGAGCCAUUGCUGAAAGGCAGAUUCAUCACAUACUCUUAAGUUUUCAAAUAAGAACCAGAUCUAAAGUCUGUUAAGCAACAUCACCCUAGUACAAUAGGGUUCAUUUGACUUAUCCGGGAUGCUCUACUGAGUAUACGUAUUGAGAGCACUAUUAAAUUAAUCCAGAGGGUUAACAGUGUUUAAGGAAUUCUUUAAUGUCAUUCAUUUUGUUGUUUGCAUAAUGAUUGAGUCUUUGGGUUUUUGUUUUUGUCAUCUUUUUUUUUUCUUAACACAUUCAUAAAAUCCAUGUGCCACACUGCAUAAUAAUGGGGCUGAGUAAUGCAGAGUAUAUAUUAAAAUGAGGCCAAAUUCUCACGGCCCUUUGCAUGCCAGCCAGGCAUUGAAUCGAUAAUUGAAUCCAUUUUUUUUUAGUAUCUUUUGAUAUAUCUAAUAUUGAAAUAAUUACCUUAUUCCCAUAACUUUAUUGAAUACUUACUAUGUGCAAGCCCUGUGCUAGGCUCUGUGCUGAGUACUUUAUUUGGAUAUCUCAUUUGAUCCUCUGUUCAACCCUGGAGAUUAGAAUUCUUUAUCAACACUGUAGGAGGAGGAAACUGAGACUACGGAGGUUAAGUGAUUUGCCUAAGAAUUCACAGCUAUUGUAUUAUGCUGAUUUAAACUGUAAAAGAAAUAUUUUGCUCUUUAGGCAUUAAAGACUCAUUUACUAGAACUGGAAGACAUGUUACCAGUCCUCUGUUUUAGACCUAGUUUACACGUUGACCCAUGGAGUUGUAUCAGAAACUGCCAGGGGUCAUAAGUCAGCAAUCAUCUGGUAAGGGAACAUUAAAAAAAACAGACUAUCCCCCAGAGAUUGAUCUAGAUCUGGAGAGGGGCCAGCUAUGUAUUUUUAAAAAUCUUCGAAGUGAUUCUGAUGGUCAGCCAGAUUUGCAAACUAUGGAUCUAGACAGACACCUUCAUUUUAUAUAUAAAGAAACACUCUAAAAGAGAUAUGAAGUCUGCCCAAAGUCCUUCAUUACCAGAAUUAGAAUUCAAGUUCCCUACCUCCCAAUUCAUGUCUUUUUUAAGUUCAUAAUUUUCAUUAAUGACUUGUCUAGCUAAAGUGAAUUUUCUUUCUUUUUUUGGUUUCUAUAUGUAAUUCUUAUCACUUUCAUCAUAUAAUCAAAAUCUGUUUAAAUAAAGUUCCCUUAAAAUGACACACAACUCUGAAAAUGCUCACUUUAAAGUGAAUGCUAGUUAAGAAUUGAGUUUGUUUUAAUUAGGCUGUUGGUGAUAAUACAACAUCAUAUGAUGCAUUUACAUUUUUAUCUUUUAAAAUAUUUGGGCUUAUAAGUGAGAUAAGUAUAAGAAAUGAAAUUUUGUGAUAUUUCAAUACAUGAUAUAGAUUUAAUAUCUAACUUACUACUGUACCAAAAGAAGAUGCAUGUCUCUGACAUUUGUUCCUGUCCUUUUCCUUAAUUCACAAACCCAAAGUAUUUAUGAAUGACUAUUCUUAUGUUUACAAGAUAAAUUAAAAGAAUUUUUUUUAAUUGCUAUGUGGACAUUCUGCGAAAUAAUGACAUGUAUUCUUCAAAAUUGUCAAGGUUAAGAAAUGCAGAGAAAGACUAAAAACUGUCCAAGUUAAAGGAGAGUAUAGAGACUUGAAAAUUAAAUGCAAUGUGUGAUUCCUGGACUGUAUCCUAGAAUGGAGAAGAAAAUAAUCAGGAUAGUUGAUAAAAUUUGAAAUGAUUACAUAACAGUAUUGUAUUAAUGUUAAUUUUUAAAUUUUGAUAACUAUAUUGUGGUUAUAUAAAAGAAUAUUUUUAUUGGAAGGAAUACACUAAAAUAUUUAAGGGUAAAGGACUCCGUUUCUAAUGUACUCUUAAAUGAUUCAGAAGUUACAUAUUUACAGAAUGAUAAAGUUAAUGGGGCAAAAUGUAAACAAUUGAUGACUCUGGAUGAAGAGGAAUUCCUUGUGCUGUUUUGCAGGUUUUCUAUGGGGAAAAAAAGAAUCAAGUGAUGAUUCAUGGAAUUGAGCCAAUGUUGGAAACACCUUUGCAGUGGCUGAGUGAACAUCUGAGCUACCCGGAUAAUUUUCUUCAUAUUAGUAUCAUCCCGCAACCAACAGAUUGAAG
This is an RNA transcript of Camelus dromedarius (Arabian camel), 8309 nucleotides long. It is a transcript of the gene named autophagy related 5, with no coding region annotated. The transcript has 10 exons. NCBI's taxonomy places the organism in Eukaryota, Metazoa, Chordata, Mammalia, Artiodactyla, Camelidae. The record is from RefSeq and is a predicted model, not a curated record.